AACGCUGGCGGCAGGCCUAACACAUGCAAGUCGAACGGUAACAGGAAGAAGCUUGCUUCUUUGCUGACGAGUGGCGGACGGGUGAGUAAUGUCUGGGAAACUGCCUGAUGGAGGGGGAUAACUACUGGAAACGGUAGCUAAUACCGCAUAACGUCGCAAGACCAAAGAGGGGGACCUUCGGGCCUCUUGCCAUCGGAUGUGCCCAGAUGGGAUUAGCUAGUAGGUGGGGUAACGGCUCACCUAGGCGACGAUCCCUAGCUGGUCUGAGAGGAUGACCAGCCACACUGGAACUGAGACACG
This 300-nucleotide ribosomal RNA is filed under the name Escherichia coli. RNAcentral's name for it is "bacterial SSU rRNA". It matches the Rfam family "Bacterial small subunit ribosomal RNA", at positions 32 to 328 of the family's 1533-position model. The record is from RNAcentral. Lineage: Bacteria; Pseudomonadati; Pseudomonadota; Gammaproteobacteria; Enterobacterales; Enterobacteriaceae.